UUACACCACAGCAGCUCUGGAAGUCGUCUCAUUGAAUUUGGGCCACCAUGGAGUCCAGUUAUCAGCCAGACUACUAAACAAACUUGAUCUUCAAGCUGCAAGAGCUAACAACUAUGACGCGUCUUGUAAGUUAUCCCAUAUGAAUCAAGAGGAUCCAGGGAUGGAAACUGUGAUGCACACCCGCAACUCCAGCUACAUGGGAGCCGAGGUGGAAAAGUCACAAGUUCAAGGCCAGCCUCAGCAACUUAGCAAGACUCGGUCUCAAAGUAAAAACAGCUGGGGGUGGGGAGUGUAUCACAAUGGUAGUGCUUGCCUAGCGUGUUCAAGGUCCUAAGUUCACUCCCCAGAACUGGGAGGGAAAUAAUAGUUGAUCCUGGCUCUUACGGCUUGGAUAUGAGGCAUCCCCCAAAGCCUCUGUGUAGGAAUACUCAGAAGCAAAGUGACAAAAUCACGAGAGCGGCAGCCUAAUGACAAGCUGAUUAACAGGCCCAUGUUGUAUCCCGUCUUCUUUGGUAAGUACCCUUAGAUGUCACAUCUAUUCCCCAGUUUAUGCUAAUUACAGGAGUGAGGCUUUGCAGCUCUACUGGGGUGUGAUUGGGGUCCUCCAGA
RNAcentral lists this long non-coding RNA (609 nucleotides) under Marmota monax (woodchuck). Lineage: Eukaryota; Metazoa; Chordata; Mammalia; Rodentia; Sciuridae. The record is from RNAcentral.